This 436-nucleotide long non-coding RNA is filed under the name Vitis vinifera (wine grape). RNAcentral's name for it is "long non-coding RNA (VVIN_LNC002770)". The record is from RNAcentral. Lineage: Eukaryota; Viridiplantae; Streptophyta; Magnoliopsida; Vitales; Vitaceae.
CCCUCUUCCAAUCCUUUUGCUGGAAUCCGCUUGGUCCCACCUACUGAACCCAUUUCAGCUCCUGCUGAAGUUUCUACCGAAGCACAAGCUGCUAGCGAGAAAAUAGUUUCUCGGGACAAAGAUGAAAAAGAUGAUGAGAGCAAGGGAACUGAAAAUGAAAACGAUGAGAGCAGGGGAACUAAAAAUGAAAAAGAUGAUGAGAGCAAGGGAACUGAAAAAGAAAAAGAUGAGAAUGUGAAGCAACCAGAAAGUGAAACUGAUGAGUCGGUGGCUGAAUCUGCUGCAGAUAAGGAGAAAAGUGAUAUUAUCAAUGAGGCAUCCAAAACUGAGGGAAAUGAUGAAAAAGCAGCAGAAGAUGAAAAAACAAGGAAUGAAGGUAAGGAAGACAAAGGUGGUGAAAAUGCAGAUUCAAGUGCUGAGGCUCCCCCUUUCAGUU